RNAcentral lists this long non-coding RNA (1771 nucleotides) under Homo sapiens (human). RNAcentral describes it as "HSALNT0197886". Lineage: Eukaryota; Metazoa; Chordata; Mammalia; Primates; Hominidae. The record is from RNAcentral.
CUGUAAACUCUUCAAGUGGAUCUCACACUUGUCUACAUAUGACUCUUGCUUUUGAUCUUCAAACUUCUUUGCAUAGUCUUUUUCAUCUCAAUGAAUAGUAUUAUCAUCUUUGUUUAUGCCCGAAACACUGAGUCUUUCUUUAAUUUUCCAUAUCAGCAGUUGUGCUUCCUCUGAAAUUCUAUUUUCUUUUUGAGAUGGGGUCUCACUCAGUCACGCAGGCUGACGUGUAGUGGGCUCACUCUCAUCUCACACAACCUCCUCCCACCUCAGCCUCCCAAGUAGCUGGGACUACAGGUGUGCACCACCACACCUGGCUAAUUUUUGUAUUUGGGUAGAGAUGGGGUUUCACCAUGUUGGCCAGGCUGGUCUUGAACUCCUGGGGUCAAGUGAUCCACCCACCUCAGCCCCCUGAAGUGCUGGGAUUCCAGGCAUCAGUCACCGCAGCCAGCCUGCUUCAUCUGAAAUUCUGAUAUCUGAGAAUUAGAUGAGGCUUUUUCCCCCCUAGAAAAGAGUAGUUUUUGGGGUUUUUUUGUUUUGUUUUGUUUUGUUUUGUUUUGUUUUUGAGCCUGUGUCUCACUCUGUCUCCUAGGCUGGAGUGCAGUGAUAGUUAUGGGUCACUGCAACCUCAACCUCUCAGGCUCUAGUGAUCCACCCCCUCUGCCUCACAAGUAGCUGGGACUUCACGUGUGCACCACCACACAUGGCUAAUUUUAGAAAAAAAAAAUUUGAAGAGACAGUUUCUCCAUAUGUUGCCCAGGCUAGUCUCAAACUCCUGGGCUCAAGCAGUCCUCCCACCUCAGCCUCCCAAAGUGCUGGGAUUGUUGUUGUGAGCUGCCACCAGGCCCAGCCUCGUUUUAUAUUUGAGACCAUGCCAGAUCUUUUCAUCUCGCAGAGUACUUCCUGAGAAUAUUACCCCACAAUUGCUAGUAAAUAAUAUCAUCAAAAAGUCAAGUAAAUAAACCUUUAAAAUAUGCAAUAAAUGGUCUUGUAGAAAUCACAAACAAUUGUACUUAUUGGAUGAAAAUAUCUGUUCUACUAUUAUAAAAAAAUUAUUGUGGUUAGGAGUAAUUUCCAGUGAUAGCAUUACAUAUACAUAAAAUAUAUACUUUACAGAUCCAAUUAAAGGAGGAUGAAUGUGAAGAAGUUGAAUAAAAGUGUUGAUACUGAGCUCUGGAGAACUCUUGGAUAAUUCCAAGAGGAAGUUUUACUGAUGAUGGUGAAGUUAUUGAUAUCAGUGAUUUAAGUAAUGAUCCCGAAUAAGAAUAUUUUAUAAAUGCAAUAAUAGUACAAAAAAAUGUUUCUUAUCUUUCAGGUGUAAAGUUGAUAUUGUACAUUUAUUCUGCAUUAUAUCCCUUACUUUUUCUAUUAUACCAUUCAACAAUAUAUACUAAUGUUGCAUUUUUAUGUUUUUAUUAUUCACAUUCUUAACUAUAUUACCUCACUUCUUCUCUGAUCUUCUGAUACUAAGUUCUGGACACAUAGUAGAUAAUCAUAGAUUAUUGUCAAAAAAGUAAACUAAUCACUUCAGUAUUUGAUUGGAAAUUGCUCCAGGCUCUUUCAUCUCAUGAUCACUGUUCUUUGAGUAUAUUUAAUAUUUCCUUAUUUAAAAGUUCAUGUAUUUAGCCAGGCGUGGUGGCUCACGCCUGUAAUCCCAGCACUUUGGGAGGCCGAGGCAGGUGGAUCAUGAGGUCAGGAGAUCAAGACCAUCCUGGCUAACGUGGUGAAACCCCAUCUCUACUAAAAAUACAAAAAUUAGCCAAGUGUGAUGGCG